Molecule: long non-coding RNA, 2137 nt
Organism: Erigeron canadensis
Lineage: Eukaryota; Viridiplantae; Streptophyta; Magnoliopsida; Asterales; Asteraceae
Exons: 9
Source: RefSeq, a predicted model, not a curated record
CCCAUACGCCCAACUCUACCAGCGCGAUGGCCACCGCGCCGAGCGAAUACACCGCCUAAUACGCCGACGUCCUUAACCCUCCGAGCCAGAUUCUCAGCGUUGUUAAACCCCCUUUCGUUGUUAAACCCUAAUUUAUAAAACAACCCGAAAUCAGAAUCAGUAUCAAAAUCGAUGCAUGAAUAUAACACUGCCUUUCGAAAUCCAAGGGGAAAUCUUAAAAAGGGUUCCAGAAGUGAAGUCUGUCGCCGAUUACCGCCCCCAGCUAACACGUCAUCAUAUAUUCGUAUGGUAUUAUAGUCGUAUAUGGAACAAGUAUGUAUCUGUAGUAGAUAAUGACAGGGAUAGUCCUAGUUUCGCCCAACACAAGCUUAUUCCCAAUUCUGUUGAAUCACUUGACGGUUUCGAAGUUUACGGUAGCUCUCUAUACUAAUUCUCCAAAAGGUAUAGCCGUUCUUUGGAACCCUUGAAUACAAAAAUCUGUUACUAUUGAUGUGCCUAAUUAAAUUGGGGUCAGUCCCGACUCUAGUGACCCUAAGCUCCUCAGCAUUCAAAGCUUUGUUAGUGUGUCGGAUGAUUUAAAACCUAGGCGAGUUAAGCUUUACAGUUUAAGAUUUGCCUCGUUCAUCGGUUGCAUUCUAUGAAAAUCGCCAUGUAGCUAUAGAGAACGGCGCGUACAGUGAAUUGGAGUCUCUCGCCGUGGUUGCAUCUUCAUUUAAUUAUAGUGUCAACAGACGAGUUUAUCAUGUAUGGCUGAUGGUAGGAACAAUGGCCAUCCUAUACUCCGAAUGGAUGUUGGUGUGUUUGAUAAACUUCUUGUUUAUGAACCUGAUUCGGAAAAAUUCACUUCUAUAUGGCCUUCUCGAAUCAGAUAUACAAGGUAUGCGGCUUCCUACAUGGAAACACUACUUUUGCUUAAUCACUAAGAUUGUAGUGUUUUAGUUCCAUGUAUAUCAACGGCAAAGAGAUUGGGGACAUUUGAAACUGUGGAGCUUUUUGGAGCACGCAAGCAAGGCAAUGCAUGGAGGAUGAGGGAUGCUGUUUGAGUUAGGCUCGAAGGGCUACGGGCCUGCACGCAUAGUGGCCAAUCUCUAUAGAAGGUAUUCAGGUGGAAGCGACACAUGUUGGGUAAGCAGAGAGGUAUGCCAAGUUGAGAAUUACCACAGUAGAAGAGUUCCGGAAAACUCAUUUCUUGACAGGGCAAGGUCUUGUUCAGGCUUUUUAAUGAGUAUCAGGUUAGGAGGCCUGAUUAUGUCAUAUCUUUAGAAGGAUGUGGUGCCUUGUGGAGGGAUAUGCAGUCUCGGUUAGUUCAUGAUUCAGUAUUUGGUGGUGUAUUCUUCUCAAGCCGGAAAUUUCUGCAUCAUGCACUGCUGGACUUUGAAGGCUGUUUGGAUGGACCUGAUUCCAAGCUCUGAUGAAGAUAUUGGUUCAUUACACCCUUUUGCACAGCUGGAUUUUCAGGCUCAGUUGUUGCAACAGCCUCCCAUUCUUUUGACACUGACAAAUGUCAAUCGCACAAUAUCUUGUGUUGCCAAAGGUCCUAUAUGUAUAGUGCAAGAACAAAUGAAGUCUAUUUCUCCUUAGUACUCUCUGGUAAAGAUGGUACCCCUAGAAUGGAAAUGGAGGGAAAUGAAUACAAACUAAAAGUUUCAGUCAGCGACAGCAGUACAUUACCAUGGAGAGGAACUUCCUAAGGUGGACUUUGCCAGGAAGGAGGUUUGAGAGACUUACAGGCAUCCAUCCUCGAGAUAGAAAUAUACUUUUUGUGUGGCAUGAUGGCGGGCUGCGUCAUUUAUUUUUAAAGGUAGUUACUUAUUUGUGAUCGUUCACCUAGUUUCAGUAUGAAUUAAUCUUACUAAACUUGAAUAAGGGUUCUAUGAGUUCUUCUAAAUCCCCAAAACCACAUGAUACGUACAUGAACAGUUCAUGUGAAUUUCAGUAGAUAAACUGGUGGAGGCAGGUAACCAGUCAAAACAUGACCUGGUCAAAUGAUUGAUGUUUGCUACAGGUCAUACCGGAUCAUGUUGGGUUGACAUGCUGUCUGAUUUUAUUGAAGUUGUUAGUGUUUUACCAAAAAAACUGUUUUAUCUUGAUAAGCAUCUAAAAAUUAUGAAUAAUAACAUUUAGGAGGUUUUAUGUA